This 204-nucleotide long non-coding RNA is filed under the name Elaeis guineensis (African oil palm). RNAcentral's name for it is "long non-coding RNA (EGUI_LNC063170)". Lineage: Eukaryota; Viridiplantae; Streptophyta; Magnoliopsida; Arecales; Arecaceae. The record is from RNAcentral.
GCAGCAGUAGUUUCGGGAGCAGGUCCUUCAGCAGCUCCAGUAGUUUCAGCAGUAUCAGCAGCAGAUCCUCUAACAGGUGCAGUAGUAGCAGUAGUAUCAUCCACCUCAGUCGAGUUCUUUUUCUACCUCUUCUUCAGAUCUCUCAAUCGUGCCAUACAUUUCUUUUUUGGUACAGCUAUUGUCUGACUUGAGCUCUAGAUUGGA